This 504-nucleotide ribosomal RNA is filed under the name uncultured marine eukaryote. RNAcentral describes it as "SSU rRNA". It matches the Rfam family "Eukaryotic small subunit ribosomal RNA", at positions 616 to 1122 of the family's 1831-position model. The record is from RNAcentral.
CGGUUAAAAAGCUCGUAGUUGGAUUUCUGUCGGUGAUUGGGAGUCCGCCCUCAGUGGUGGGUACUUUUCAAGCCACCGGCAUCUUCCUGGGGACUGUGUCUGCUCUUUGUUGAGUGGCGCAUAAUCCAGGACUUUUACUUUGAAGAAAUAGGAGUGUUUCAAGCAGGCAAUCGCCAUGAACACGUUAGCAUGGAAUAAUAGCAUCGGACCUCGUUCCAAAGCUGUUGGUUUCUUGGGACGAGGUAAAGGUGAAUAGGGAUUGUUGGGGGCAUUCGUAUUUAACUGUCAGAGGUGAAAUUCUUGGAUUUGUUGAAGACGGACUACUGCGAAAGCAUCUGCCAAAGAUGUUCUCAUUGAUCAAGAACGAAAGUUAGGUGAUCGAAGACGAUCAGAUACCGUCCUAGUCUUAACCAUAAACUAUGCCGACUGGAGAUCGGGGGUCGUUAACUUUAUGAACGCCCUCUGCAUCUUGAGAGAAAUCAAAGUCUUUGGGUUCCGGGGGGA